Ananas comosus (pineapple) is the source of this 1757-nucleotide long non-coding RNA. RefSeq lists it as uncharacterized. The record is from RefSeq and is a predicted model, not a curated record. NCBI's taxonomy places the organism in Eukaryota, Viridiplantae, Streptophyta, Magnoliopsida, Poales, Bromeliaceae. The transcript has 2 exons.
ACACAAAAUAGAGUGUGGCCCCCCUCACCUUCUCUUCCCUUCCCCCCUCCCCCCACCCCCUCUCUCUCCUUUUCUGCUCCUCUUUAAGCAGCAAUUUAGAGCCAUGUAAAAAGAGGUAUCAGGAGAAUAGCAUGCCUUUGUAGGGAGAAAGCUAUCACAGUAGAAGAUGCCUCUUUGCCAUAGAGAAAUCCACAUCAACUCUUUCUCCAACAGUAACACAUGUCAUGAAUAUAUAGCCCCUCCUCUCAAGCCCAUAACCCCCUCUCUCUCUCUCUCUCUCUCUCUCUCUCUCUCUCUCUCUCAAUAGCUAGUGUUGAUUUUAUCUUAAAGGUCUUUGCAACAAGGCUUUGAUCAAUUACAUGAUGUUGAAUUUUUGCCGUAUGUCGAUUGCGGGUGUCGGCGAUCAUCGUCGUGAAACUGAAUGAUGAAGGUAUCGAUAGAUUAGAUGCGGAGAUAUUGGCGUGCCUCAAUUCGAAGACAUGGCUAAAGUGAUCAGUUUAUGUAGCCUUGUAAUUGGAUUGAGCCGCGUCAAUAUCUCCCUCAGCUCCAAAAAAGCUCACUAUCUAUGAGAAAACCAGCUUUGUGCACAUGGUUGUAUUUCAUAGUACUCAUCGAGAAGAACAACAAAACAAAACAAAGGUAACAUAUUUGAACUACAAAUUUUAACUGUAAAUGUUACAGUUCGAUAAUACGAUAGAGAUCGAUAUAUUGUAUGCCUUCUCAAUUCAUGCAUGUGUGUUGUUCAGAGGGAUAUAUAAUAUCCCUACACUCAGCUGUCCCCAAUAAUUUGGUGGGAGUAGUCACACAUAAUUAUAUAUAAUGAGUUUGAAUGAUGCCUUUAACUAUACCAAUAAUAGAGUCAUAUAUAUGGUAAAGCUCUUUACUUCUCAAUUUGAAAACCUUAAGCAUGUUUCUCCAAAAAAAACAAACAAAAAAAAAGAACAAAAAGGAAACACCUAUGAAUUUUUCAGGAGGAGAAUAAGAUCAUGAUUUGGAUCAAAACCACUACACUUGAUUAGGAGAACCUUAUAUUAAUAUUGCCAUCCAAUAUUUGCUAAAUUUUGAUAGUAUAUAUAUUGUUGUUAUUGUAAUUAUUAUAUGUAGUACACUAAGCACCUGAAAUGCUUUAUCACUAAGGAGGUAAAGAGAAAAUGGUGGCCUAAUGUAGUACAACAAAAUCCAGUGCAGUUUAGAAGCACUAUGGAUGAAUUCAAAUGGUUUCUCUGUGAGUUGCUAGCUGUGCUGUUUAUACUUCCACUCCUUUUUAAUGAAAGUUAUAGGGCUUUUGAACCUACAACUAUUUAUCAAAAAAGAAAAAAAAAGAAUUCUUAACUAUUAUGAGCUGUUUAUAAUGAGUGUAUGGUGAGAUAUAUAUAUACAACAUACCUAAAUUUUCCUUUUCCUCUAGGCAUUCUCUUCAAAAGUUUUGAGUCUUUUGUGCAAUUCCACUCUCUACAUGUGCUUUAAUUUAUUCCCCCAUUAUUAUAGACAGAUAAGGGAAGAUACUAGGAUAUGUUAGUCAAGCUGAUUCUAACCUUAGGCCAUCUCCUUUUCUUGUAAAAUCUUACUUUAGAUCUUUUAUUUGUAGCUAAUUGUUACAAAUGUUGUUGUUAAUGAAUCCAAAGGGCCAAGUGCUUUUGAACUGUUUUUUAUUUUUCCUCUUUUGACUGAAGGACAUAGGGUGAUCUUCUGUGAGUGUAUAUUUGCUUUUGAAAUGUUAUAAUGCCUGUAAUUUAAGAAGUUUUAAUUUUCGUGAA